GGGUUGUGAGGUUAAGCGACUAAGCGUACACGGUGGAUGCCCUGGCAGUCAGAGGCGAUGAAGGACGUGCUAAUCUGCGAAAAGCGUCGGUAAGGUGAUAUGAACCGUUAUAGCCGGCGAUGUCCGAAUGGGGAAACCCAGUGCAAUUCGUUGCACUAUCGUUAACUGAAUACAUAGGUUAACGAGGCGAACCGGGGGAACUGAAACAUCUAAGUACCCCGAGGAAAAGAAAUCAACCGAGAUUCCCCCAGUAGCGGCGAGCGAACGGGGAGCAGCCCAGAGUCUGAAUCAGCUUGUGUGUUAGUGGAACGGUCUGGAAAGUCCGACGGUACAGGGUGAUAGUCCCGUACACCAAAAUGCACAGGCUGUGAACUCGAAGAGUAGGGCGGGACACGUGGUAUCCUGUCUGAAUAUGGGGGGACCAUCCUCCAAGGCUAAAUACUCCUGACUGACCGAUAGUGAACCAGUACCGUGAGGGAAAGGCGAAAAGAACCCCGGCGAGGGGAGUGAAAAAGAACCUGAAACCGUGUACGUACAAGCAGUGGGAGCACCCUUUAGGGUGUGACUGCGUACCUUUUGUAUAAUGGGUCAGCGACUUAUAUUCUGUAGCAAGGUUAACCGUAUAGGGGAGCCGCAGGGAAACCGAGUCUUAACUGGGCGUUAAGUUGCAGGGUAUAGACCCGAAACCCGGUGAUCUAGCCAUGGGCAGGUUGAAGGUUGGGUAACACUAACUGGAGGACCGAACCGACUAAUGUUGAAAAAUUAGCGGAUGACUUGUGGCUGGGGGUGAAAGGCCAAUCAAACCGGGAGAUAGCUGGUUCUCCCCGAAAGCUAUUUAGGUAGCGCCUCGUGAAUUCAUCUUCGGGGGUAGAGCACUGUUUCGGCUAGGGGGUCAUCCCGACUUACCAACCCGAUGCAAACUACGAAUACCGAAGAAUGUUAUCACGGGAGACACACGGCGGGUGCUAACGUCCGUCGUGAAGAGGGAAACAACCCAGACCGCCAGCUAAGGUCCCAAAGUCAUGGUUAAGUGGGAAACGAUGUGGGAAGGCACAGACAGCCAGGAUGUUGGCUUAGAAGCAGCCAUCAUUUAAAGAAAGCGUAAUAGCUCACUGGUCGAGUCGGCCUGCGCGGAAGAUGUAACGGGGCUAAACCAUGCACCGAAGCUGCGGCAGCGACACUAUGUGUUGUUGGGUAGGGGAGCGUUCUGUAAGCCUGCGAAGGUGGCCUGUGAGGGUUGCUGGAGGUAUCAGAAGUGCGAAUGCUGACAUAAGUAACGAUAAAGCGGGUGAAAAGCCCGCUCGCCGGAAGACCAAGGGUUCCUGUCCAACGUUAAUCGGGGCAGGGUGAGUCGACCCCUAAGGCGAGGCCGAAAGGCGUAGUCGAUGGGAAACAGGUUAAUAUUCCUGUACUUGGUGUUACUGCGAAGGGGGGACGGAGAAGGCUAUGUUAGCCGGGCGACGGUUGUCCCGGUUUAAGCAUGUAGGCGGAGGUUCCAGGUAAAUCCGGUACCUUUUAACGCUGAGGUGUGAUGACGAGGCACUACGGUGCUGAAGUAACAAAUGCCCUGCUUCCAGGAAAAGCCUCUAAGCAUCAGGUAACAUUAAAUCGUACCCCAAACCGACACAGGUGGUCAGGUAGAGAAUACCAAGGCGCUUGAGAGAACUCGGGUGAAGGAACUAGGCAAAAUGGUGCCGUAACUUCGGGAGAAGGCACGCUGAUAGGUAGGUGAAGUCCCUGCGGAUGGAGCUGAAAUCAGUCGAAGAUACCAGCUGGCUGCAACUGUUUAUUAAAAACACAGCACUGUGCAAACACGAAAGUGGACGUAUACGGUGUGACGCCUGCCCGGUGCCGGAAGGUUAAUUGAUGGGGUUAUCCGUAAGGAGAAGCUCUUGAUCGAAGCCCCGGUAAACGGCGGCCGUAACUAUAACGGUCCUAAGGUAGCGAAAUUCCUUGUCGGGUAAGUUCCGACCUGCACGAAUGGCGUAAUGAUGGCCAGGCUGUCUCCACCCGAGACUCAGUGAAAUUGAACUCGCUGUGAAGAUGCAGUGUACCCGCGGCAAGACGGAAAGACCCCGUGAACCUUUACUAUAGCUUGACACUGAACAUUGAGCCUUGAUGUGUAGGAUAGGUGGGAGGCUUUGAAGCGUGGACGCCAGUCUGCGUGGAGCCAACCUUGAAAUACCACCCUUUAAUGUUUGAUGUUCUAACGUAGACCCCUAAUCGGGGUUGCGGACAGUGUCUGGUGGGUAGUUUGACUGGGGCGGUCUCCUCCCAAAGAGUAACGGAGGAGCACGAAGGUUAGCUAAUCCUGGUCGGACAUCAGGAGGUUAGUGCAAUGGCAUAAGCUAGCUUGACUGCGAGCGUGACGGCGCGAGCAGGUGCGAAAGCAGGUCAUAGUGAUCCGGUGGUUCUGAAUGGAAGGGCCAUCGCUCAACGGAUAAAAGGUACUCCGGGGAUAACAGGCUGAUACCGCCCAAGAGUUCAUAUCGACGGCGGUGUUUGGCACCUCGAUGUCGGCUCAUCACAUCCUGGGGCUGAAGUAGGUCCCAAGGGUAUGGCUGUUCGCCAUUUAAAGUGGUACGCGAGCUGGGUUUAGAACGUCGUGAGACAGUUCGGUCCCUAUCUGCCGUGGGCGCUGGAGAAUUGAGGGGGGCUGCUCCUAGUACGAGAGGACCGGAGUGGACGCAUCACUGGUGUUCGGGUUGUCAUGCCAAUGGCAUUGCCCGGUAGCUAAAUGCGGAAGAGAUAAGUGCUGAAAGCAUCUAAGCACGAAACUUGCCCCGAGAUGAGUUCUCCCUGAGACUUUAAGUCUCCUGAAGGAACGUUGAAGACGACGACGUUGAUAGGCCGGGUGUGUAAGCGCAGCGAUGCGUUGAGCUAACCGGUACUAAUGAACCGUGAGGCUUAACCUUACAACGCCGAAGGUGUUU
Molecule: ribosomal RNA, 2933 nt
Filed under: Klebsiella variicola
Lineage: Bacteria; Pseudomonadati; Pseudomonadota; Gammaproteobacteria; Enterobacterales; Enterobacteriaceae
Description: 23S ribosomal RNA
Rfam family: Bacterial large subunit ribosomal RNA
Source: RNAcentral